GGAAUUGGUAAAGGAUAUUCACUGCUUGGCUAACUUGAAGUUCUCCUAUUAGACUCUAAGGAUGGUAGUGUGGUGGUGCAAGAAGUGGUUAGAUCAUCUCUUGGUGCGGAGAUUAAGGAGAAGUAAGUGAAUGAUCCUAUCUUGAUAAAAAUCAAGAGUGACGUUGAUGGAUAAAAGGUAAUGGUGUUUGAGAUUAGUGGUGAUAGUAUUUUAUGGUACUAAGGGAGGUUGUGUGUUCCUAAUUUGGCUAAGGCGUAUGAGUCGCACUAUAUUUUAUAUCCCGGCUCGACUAAGAUGUAUCAUGAUCUCAAGGAGAUCUAUUGGUGGAA
This 329-nucleotide long non-coding RNA is filed under the name Capsicum annuum. RNAcentral's name for it is "long non-coding RNA (CANN_LNC000396)". The record is from RNAcentral. Lineage: Eukaryota; Viridiplantae; Streptophyta; Magnoliopsida; Solanales; Solanaceae.